Molecule: ribosomal RNA, 383 nt
Filed under: uncultured eukaryote
Lineage: Eukaryota
Description: partial 18S ribosomal RNA
Rfam family: Eukaryotic small subunit ribosomal RNA
Source: RNAcentral
CAAUAGCGUAUAUUAAAGUUGUUGCAGUUAAAAAGCUCGUAGUUGGAUUUCUGGUGGGAGCGAUCGGUCUGGCGCUUAGCGCGAGUACUUGCAUCGUCUCCGGCCAUCCUUGGGGAGAGUCUGUCUGGCUUUAGGUUGUCGGGCAGAGGAUCCUCAUCGUUUACUGUGAAAAAAUUAGAGUGUUCAAAGCAGGCUUAUGCCGUUGAAUAUAUUAGCAUGGAAUAAUAAGAUAGGACUUUGGUACUAUUUUGUUGGUUUGCGCACCAAAGUAAUGAUUAAUAGGGACAGUUGGGGGUAUUCGUAUUCCGUUGUCAGAGGUGAAAUUCUUGGAUUUACGGAAGACGAACUACUGCGAAAGCAUUUACCAAGGAUGUUUUCAUUAA